AACGAACGCUGGCGGCAUGCCUAACACAUGCAAGUCGAACGAGACCUUCGGGUCUAGUGGCGCACGGGUGCGUAACGCGUGGGAACCUGCCCUUAGGUUCGGAAUAACUCCCCGAAAGGGGUGCUAAUACCGGUUAAUGUCUUCGGACCAAAGAUUUAUCGCCUUUGGAUGGGCCCGCGUUGGAUUAGCUAGUUGGUAGGGUAAAAGCCUACCAAGGCGACGAUCCAUAGCUGGUCUGAGAGGAUGAUCAGCCACACUGGGACUGAGACACGGCCCAGACUCCGACGGGAGGCAGCAGUGGGGAAUAUUGGACGAGGGGGGAAAGCCUGAUCCAGCAAUGCCGCGUGAGUGAUGAAGGCCUUAGGGUUGUAAAGCUCUUUUACCCGGGAUGAUAAUGACAGUACCGGGAGAAUAAGCUCCGGCUAACUCCGUG
RNAcentral lists this ribosomal RNA (433 nucleotides) under uncultured bacterium. RNAcentral's name for it is "partial 16S ribosomal RNA". It matches the Rfam family "Bacterial small subunit ribosomal RNA", at positions 29 to 507 of the family's 1533-position model. The record is from RNAcentral.